Molecule: non-coding RNA, 1909 nt
Organism: Amborella trichopoda
Lineage: Eukaryota; Viridiplantae; Streptophyta; Magnoliopsida; Amborellales; Amborellaceae
Source: RefSeq, a predicted model, not a curated record
UACAUUUUUUAAAUUUGUUUUUCAAAAAUACCGGUUCAUCACCCUAACCAUCCAAAACCGGAACCGGCCACUGGCCGGUUCCAUUCUAACCGGGCGAUUAGUGGUUAGAUCAGGCAAUUUUGUAAAGAAUAUGAACAUGCAUUCUCAUGUACCAUUUUUACUUUUGCUAUUUUGUGUCAGUUUUACAUCUUUAUUCCUGGAGCUGUAAUCAACAAUUGAUUUUGUCAUUUGCUAAAUUGGAAAUUUAGUUGGGAGACUUUGUGUUGAGAAUGAGAGUCUGGUCAAUAAAUUGCCAACUAGGGAGCUGUGAAAUGCACGUGAGUUAGAACUAGGAAAUGAAAUAUAAUUGCUUUCAAGGAAGAAACAACUUUUGAGGUUUAUAAACGUCUAGUUCUAGGUGUUACUCUUUGUUCUAUGGACAAAGAGUAGGCGUUCUUUGGGUAGAUUUUAGGGUUAAGCAUCAUCAUGUCCAUUGUUAUUAUGAUUGUCUAUCCUAUGGAAUAUUUCCAAUCAUUGUUUGCUAAUUUACUGCACAUAUGUGUUCCAAAUCAAAAAACAAUUGUCUUCUUUUCUGACGAUAGUAUUUUGUAAAUAUUUUUCUCGUUGCAGUUUUUAAUAGUGAUUACUCAAAUACUGGAUUGAGAGUUGAUUAACAUAAUGGAUGGAGAUGCAUUUUUAUAAAACAAAGAAAGAAAAACAAAAUAGGGUGGAGAUACCUUGAAUAAAGAGUUUCAUGUUUGGUUAAUGACGAACUAUUGUUGUGCGUAGUAAGUAGUAUUGAGCUUUAUAACUCACUUUAUAAGAGGAUCUUGCGUUUGCUUUCCAAGCAUAUGUUGCUGAAAAAGAAGGGUUACUAAUUUAUAAGAUGACAGAGCAUAAAAGACAAAUUUGUGAGGGAUACAAUGUGAUGUUACCAAAAGCUGACAACCCUUUACUCUACUGCUGCCUGGUGGAUUGGCAAUGCCAUGUGAAUUAUAUGUUUCAGCAAAAAAUAUAUACAGGGAGACACUAGCAAAAAUUGGAGACAAGAAGCAAUAGAAAUGGGAAAUUGAACAUCGUUUCAACUGCUUUCAACAACUUAAUUGUGUUUUCAAAUCUCCCACUCGCGGGCCACCUCGAGCUCUAAGCAAUGGCUUCUCCAAGGCGUCAAGUACUCAGGGUAGGUGAAGGUUAUUGUAGCUGACAUGUUCGGCUCUGACAGAUGCGGCUUUACACGUGCAGUACGGACAAGUGCGGUAUUGGUAGCGUUCCCCCUUCUCUGACAAUACUCCAGUUCACACGUGGCGAUGCACCAAAUGGCACUACACUGGCGGCGAUGCUCAAAUUUUCACUCGCCGCAAUGCCUUUUUGGAUGCGCGCUAGGUCACAGACGGCGUUGAGCUCUUAUACACGCGCGACGAUACUUCAAACGGUGCUAGGCCUCUGUUUCACCCUCCAUCGUUGUGCACAUCUCUGGACUGAGAGAAUAUUGUGGUCCUUACAGAUGUUCUUUUUUAAUAGGACUAUUAAAGUGCAAUCCAUGUGCAGUUUAAGAUUCCAAAUGGUAGUCGAAUAUGCACAGGAUAAUUCCAAUGGUUAAUUAUGAAUUAUUUUCAUGCUAGGGAAAAUACGGUUCCAGUGGUUAAAAAUGGAACAAAAUAGUAUCAAAACUUUCUUGUUUAUAGUUUUUUAUAAUCAAGGCUAUAUGCCAAUACUUUCUAUAUCCAUGACUAUUUAAUAACAAUCUUCAAGCAUAAUGAUCAGAGUAAAGUAUAAAAUGUGAAGCUACUUCCUAGUCUAGGAUCUCUACCGAUCUCUGAUGCUUCUACAAUAGGAACCACUAUAGGGCCCUUUUGGCAACCAUAGAUCCAGCCGAAAGACCUUGAAACCUAAAUAACUACUAGAAUGUAAAACCAUAUGUGUUUUUGGC